This 152-nucleotide ribosomal RNA is filed under the name uncultured Flavobacterium sp. RNAcentral's name for it is "partial 16S ribosomal RNA". It matches the Rfam family "Bacterial small subunit ribosomal RNA", at positions 376 to 525 of the family's 1533-position model. The record is from RNAcentral. Lineage: Bacteria; Pseudomonadati; Bacteroidota; Flavobacteriia; Flavobacteriales; Flavobacteriaceae.
CGAGAGCCUGAUCCAGCCAUGCCGCGUGCAGGAAGACGGCCCUAUGGGUUGUAAACUGCUUUUAUACGGGAAGAAACACUCUGACGUGUCAGAGCUUGACGGUACCGUAAGAAUAAGGAUCGGCUAACUCCGUGCCAGCAGCCGCGGUAAUA